AUCUGAACCAUACUCUCUCGCAGAUAGGAUAUGUUGCAGAUCAUCUUCAUGAUAGAACUUUACAAUCAUGGGAUGUUCUAUAGAAAACAAACAAGUAUUAUUGGGGAUUGGACGGUGAUAUGGAAGGCAUUUGUGCUUUUGCCAACCAAACGCACUCACCAUGAAAAGCUGCUUAGACGACGAGGUCAUAUUCGCCAUCGAUGGCACAUGCAGCAAUGACUCCACCUGAUGCCCAUGAUUGCAUACCUUAGUCACCAUAAGCUGAAAUGUUGAAUGACCGGAGUUAUCUAAGAUGCAUCUUUGCCUAUGUAGCUUGCACUUUUUAAAAACAAUGUAAAUAAACUAUCAUGAAUUGACCUUAUACCUUUCUUUUGGCCUAUAUAAACCUACCAUGCAAUGUAAUAUAUAACGAUAUGAAUGAACGUCAUCCCUAAAUA
This 437-nucleotide long non-coding RNA is filed under the name Triticum aestivum (bread wheat). Its description in RNAcentral is "long non-coding RNA (TAES_LNC028285)". The record is from RNAcentral. Lineage: Eukaryota; Viridiplantae; Streptophyta; Magnoliopsida; Poales; Poaceae.